GGAACAAGAAGACCCUAAGAAUUUUAAAGAUAAUAAUUUAAAUAUUACAAUUAUUAUCUUUUGGUUGGGGCAACUAAAAAAGAUUAUAAACUUUUUAUUUAAUAAAAUGAUCCAUUAUUAAUGAUAUUUUGAUAAAAAUACUCUAGGGAUAACAGCGUAAUAAUUUUUGAUAGAACAUAUAGACAAAAUAGUUUGCGACCUCGAUGUUGGAUUAGGAUGCUUUUUUAAUGAAGAUGUUAAAAAAAGAAGUUUGUUCAACUUUUAAAGUCCUACUUGAUCUGAGUUCAGACG
Molecule: ribosomal RNA, 291 nt
Filed under: Dermacentor parumapertus
Lineage: Eukaryota; Metazoa; Arthropoda; Arachnida; Ixodida; Ixodidae
Description: partial 16S ribosomal RNA
Rfam family: Bacterial large subunit ribosomal RNA (bases 148-291)
Source: RNAcentral